Molecule: transfer RNA, 72 nt
Filed under: bacterium
Lineage: Bacteria
Also listed under: 2 other names
Description: tRNA-Met
Rfam family: tRNA
About the family: Transfer RNA (tRNA) molecules are approximately 80 nucleotides in length.
Source: RNAcentral
GGGCCUGUAGCUCAGCGGUAGAGCGGCCGGCUCAUAACCGGCUGUGCGCAGGUUCGAAUCCUGCCGGGCCCA